This 465-nucleotide ribosomal RNA is filed under the name uncultured bacterium. RNAcentral describes it as "partial 16S ribosomal RNA". It matches the Rfam family "Bacterial small subunit ribosomal RNA", at positions 28 to 507 of the family's 1533-position model. The record is from RNAcentral.
GACGAACGCUGGCGGCGUGCUUAACACAUGCAAGUCGAACGGAAAGGCCCUGCUUGCAGGGUACUCGAGUGGCGAACGGGUGAGUAACACGUGGGUGAUCUGCCCUGCACUUCGGGAUAAGCCUGUGAAACUGGGUCUAGUACCGGAUAGGAGCCAUUUUUAGUGUGAUGGUUGGAAAGUUUUUUCGGUGUAGGAUGAGCUCGCGGGCUAUCAGCUUGUUGGUGGGGUAAUGGCCUACCAAGGCGGCGACGGGUAGCCGGACUGAGAGGGUGGACGGCGAUCUUGGGACUGAGAUACGGCACAGACUGCGACGGGAGGCAGCAGUGGGGAAUAUUGCACAAGGGGCGCAAGCCUGAUGCAGCGACGCUGCGUGGGGGAUGACGGUCUUAGGGUUGUAAACCACUUGCGCUAGGGACGAAGCUCUUUGUGACGGUACCUAGAUAAGAAGCACCGGCUAACUACGUG